CGGGGCGUGGCGUAGCCAGGUAGCGCGUUCGGCUGGGGGCCGAGAGGUCGCAGGUUCAAAUCCUGUCGCCCCGA
Molecule: transfer RNA, 74 nt
Filed under: Bacteroidota bacterium
Lineage: Bacteria; Pseudomonadati; Bacteroidota
Also listed under: 1 other name
Description: Bacteroidetes bacterium tRNA-Pro
Rfam family: tRNA
About the family: Transfer RNA (tRNA) molecules are approximately 80 nucleotides in length. Their secondary structure includes four short double-helical elements and three loops (D, anti-codon, and T loops).
Source: RNAcentral